RNAcentral lists this ribosomal RNA (468 nucleotides) under uncultured bacterium. Its description in RNAcentral is "partial 16S ribosomal RNA". It matches the Rfam family "Bacterial small subunit ribosomal RNA", at positions 28 to 507 of the family's 1533-position model. The record is from RNAcentral.
GACGAACGCUGGCGGCGGGCUUAACACAUGCAAGUCGAACGGAAAGGCCCUGCUGUUGUGGGGUUCUCGAGUGGCGAACGGGUGGGUAACACGUGAGUAACCUGCCCUUGACUUUGGGAUAACUUCAGGAAACUGGGGCUAAUACCGGAUAGUAGCUCCUGCUGCAUGGUGGGGGUUGGAAAGUUUCGGCGGUUGGGGAUGGACUCGCGGCUUAUCAGCUUGUUGGUGGGGUAGUGGCUUACCAAGGCUUUGACGGGUAGCCGGCCUGAGAGGGUGACCGGCCACAUUGGGACUGAGAUACGGCCCAGACUCCUACGGGAGGCAGCAGUGGGGAAUAUUGCACAAUGGGCGGACGCCUAAGGCAGCAACGCCGCGUGCGGGAUGACGGCCUUCGGGUUGUAAACCGCUUUCGCCUGUGACGAAGCGUGAGUGACGGUAAUGGGUAAAGAAGCACCGGCUAACUACGUG